UGUAGAAAGAGCUGCAGUUGAAAUACAAUGUUUAAUCAUAUUGGAUAAGAACCUUUCUGAAUACAAGAUUUGCAAAGAGCUGUAAUCAAAAGCACAAGCUUUAAUCAGACUAAAUGAAUUUGUCCUGCGUCCUACCGUAGCCUAGUGUUUAGCUCUUUUUCUUCUCUCCGUCUUGUUGUUGUUGUUUGGAGUAGACAUCGGGAUUGUCGAAAAAUUUGUCAACCAAGAACUAGGGAAGAUGAGCGAGAAAGGAGGAAAAAAAGAACAGGAACAGAUUGUAUUGUUCUGAAAGUACAAACGGUGAAGAGAUGGAAACAGCAGGAAGGAAGAGUGCCGAAGAGAGUGUGAGAACGUACUUCACUGAAUACCCGAAUCGAGAAGAUGGGUGCACAGACGUUCUCCAAUAUGGAGCAUGAUCUCCAAUCAUAUGGUGCUUCCGGAGAUGGCCAGGGGUCAGCGUGGACACUCUGACAGCAGCUCCGUAGCCUCAUAGACAGCAAGCCGUGAUGCGCUGUGUGUUCUGAGACGUUUCUAUCAGAGCCGGCAUGAACUUUUUCAGCAAGUUGUGCUACAGUAGCUCUUCUCUGGGAUCGGACCGGACGGAUCAGCCUUCGCUCCCAACGGCAUCGAUGAGGCUCGGGUGGCCAUGACCCGGACGCUUGGAAAAUAUUAAGUCAUUUCAAGAGAUCAUUUGAUUUGAGCAUACGCUUACUCAUGGUCAGGGUUAUGGUGGAUCCGGACCUCACGGCAAGAAUACACCUUGGAUGCUACACCAGGUCAUUACACACACACACACACACACACACACACACACACACACUUCACACCUAGCGCCCAAUCCGCUUAACAGUUUAUUUGUUGGAGGUGGGAGCUCAUACUAUCUGAGCUGAGCGAAACUCCCCACUGUACCCCAGCGUGUCUCUUCUAUCUCUCGCUGCAUCACUUUAUUGUUCUGUUUGGAAAUUCUGUACUGUACAUCCGAUGUAGAAGUUCUUAUAGAUUUUGAAGUUCAAUUCCCAGUUAACCCUGCGA
Ictalurus punctatus (channel catfish) is the source of this 1032-nucleotide long non-coding RNA. NCBI's taxonomy places the organism in Eukaryota, Metazoa, Chordata, Actinopteri, Siluriformes, Ictaluridae. The record is from Ensembl.